This 465-nucleotide ribosomal RNA is filed under the name Vreelandella stevensii. RNAcentral describes it as "partial 16S ribosomal RNA". It matches the Rfam family "Bacterial small subunit ribosomal RNA", at positions 338 to 795 of the family's 1533-position model. Lineage: Bacteria; Pseudomonadati; Pseudomonadota; Gammaproteobacteria; Oceanospirillales; Halomonadaceae. The record is from RNAcentral.
CCUACGGGGGGCAGCAGUGGGGAAUAUUGGACAAUGGGCGAAAGCCUGAUCCAGCCAUGCCGCGUGUGUGAAGAAGGCCUUCGGGUUGUAAAGCACUUUCGGUGGGGAAGAAAGCCUUGGGGCUAAUACCCUCGAGGAAGGACAUCACCCACAGAAGAAGCACCGGCUAACUCCGUGCCAGCAGCCGCGGUAAUACGGAGGGUGCGAGCGUUAAUCGGAAUUACUGGGCGUAAAGCGCGCGUAGGCGGUCUGAUAAGCCGGUUGUGAAAGCCCCGGGCUCAACCUGGGAACGGCAUCCGGAACUGUCAGGCUAGAGUGCAGGAGAGGAAGGUAGAAUUCCCGGUGUAGCGGUGAAAUGCGUAGAGAUCGGGAGGAAUACCAGUGGCGAAGGCGGCCUUCUGGACUGACACUGACGCUGAGGUGCGAAAGCGUGGGUAGCAAACAGGAUUAGAUACCCCAGUAGUC